AAGCGCUUGCAGCCAGACUUGCCUGUAGUUGCUCACCCGGACUCUUGUCCGGUGCACUCUUCUAUAGGCAGGCCAGCAUCAGUUUGGGCGGUUGGAUAAAGGUCUCUGUCAUGUACCUCCUUUCGGGGAGGCCUUAUAGGGGAGACGACAUGCAACCAGCCUGGACUGAGGUCCGCGCAUUUAUGCUAGGAUGCUGGCGUAAUGGCUGUAAGCGG
RNAcentral lists this ribosomal RNA (215 nucleotides) under Paraleptosphaeria nitschkei. Its description in RNAcentral is "partial large subunit ribosomal RNA". Lineage: Eukaryota; Fungi; Ascomycota; Dothideomycetes; Pleosporales; Leptosphaeriaceae. The record is from RNAcentral.